UACGUAGGGGGCAAGCGUUGUCCGGAUUUAUUGGGCGUAAAGAGCGUGUAGGCGGCUUGGUAGGUCCGCUGUGAAAACUCGAGGCUCAACCUCGAGAUGUCGGCGGAAACCACUUGGCUAGAGUCCGGAAGAGGAGAGUGGAAUUCCCGGUGUAGCGGUGAAAUGCGCAGAUAUCGGGAAGAACACCUAUGGCGAAGGCAGCUCUCGUGGGACGGU
This 216-nucleotide ribosomal RNA is filed under the name uncultured bacterium. Its description in RNAcentral is "partial 16S ribosomal RNA". It matches the Rfam family "Bacterial small subunit ribosomal RNA", at positions 524 to 738 of the family's 1533-position model. The record is from RNAcentral.